RNAcentral lists this ribosomal RNA (472 nucleotides) under Oscheius sp. RLH-2013. RNAcentral describes it as "SSU rRNA". It matches the Rfam family "Eukaryotic small subunit ribosomal RNA", at positions 49 to 546 of the family's 1831-position model. Lineage: Eukaryota; Metazoa; Nematoda; Chromadorea; Rhabditida; Rhabditidae. The record is from RNAcentral.
CCAUGCAUGUAAAAAGUUCAACUUUUUGUGAAACUGCGAACGGCUCAUUAGAGCAGCUAUCAUUCUCUUCGGAUAUCCUUUAUGGAUAACUGCGGAAAUUCUGGAGCUAAUACAUGCAACUAAACCUCGACUUUGAAGAGGUGCAGAUAUUAGUACAAACCAAUCGUCUUCGGACGUUGUUUGUUGACUCUGAAUAUCGCAGUUUAUCGGCAGGUAAUCUACCGAUAACCGAAAGAAGUGUCUGCCCUAUCAACCAGAUGGUAGUCUAUUAGUCUACCAUGGUUAUUACGGGUAACGGAGAAUAAGGGUUNGACUCCGGAGAGGGAGCCUUAGAAACGGCUACCACAUCCAAGGAAGGCAGCAGGCGCGUAACUUAUNNNNNACNUCAGUGAGAUAGUGACUAAAAAUAAAAAGACCAAUCCUCACGGAUCGGUUAUUUCAAUGAGUUGAGCUUAAAUAGCUCUCGAGACCU